This is a non-coding RNA of Fukomys damarensis (Damara mole-rat), 486 nucleotides long. The record is from the annotation of a RefSeq genome assembly. NCBI's taxonomy places the organism in Eukaryota, Metazoa, Chordata, Mammalia, Rodentia, Bathyergidae.
CACUCAGUGAUCAGGACUGAGCAUAGGCGGCUCACCAUGGAGCUUGUGCUGAGUUUGGCUUUCCUGGUUGCUCUUUUAAAAGCUGUGCAGUGUGAGGUGCAGCUAGUGGAGUCUGGAGGAGGCUUGGUGCAGCCUGGGGGGGGGUCCCUGAAACUCUCCUGUGUGACCUCGGGAUUCACCUUCAGCGAUUACUACAUGGAAUGGGUCCGCCAGGCUCCAGGAAAUGUCCCAGAAUGGGUUGCUGUUAGUAGAAACAAGGCUAAUAGUUAUACAACAGAAUAUGCUACAUCUGUGAAAGGCAGAUUCACCAUCUCCAGGGAUGAGUCCAUAAACACACUGCAUCUGCAGAUGAACAGCCUGAAAGUUGAGGACACAGCCGUGUACUACUGUGCUAGAGACACAGUGAGGAGACCUCAGUGUGAGCCCACAUGCAAAUCUCCCUGCUGGGGUGCUCAGCACCAGCAGGGGUCGCACAGGUCACACUGA